AUGAAACUUAUCGAAUGGAACUGCCGGGGGCUCGGGAAUGGCCAGGCAGGUCGUAGCCUCCUCGACUUGGGGAGGGUGGAGGAGCCCGACGUCCUAUUCUUGGUGAAGAAAAAACUUUCGGAGAAGGAGUUGGAGAGGUUUCGUUGGUCGUUUGGUAUGGUUAACAUGAUUGCAUGGAACCUGGUAGGGCGGAGCCGAGAGGUAGCGUUGUUUUGGAGACGAGGGUUGGAUAUUGCGUUAAGAUAA
Molecule: ribosomal RNA, 246 nt
Filed under: Triticum aestivum (bread wheat)
Lineage: Eukaryota; Viridiplantae; Streptophyta; Magnoliopsida; Poales; Poaceae
Description: partial small subunit ribosomal RNA
Source: RNAcentral